GAAGCCACCCUUCCCAUGGUGCACUGCGAACAAAGAUGGCUUCCGUGGUGAAGUAAUCUGCGUUCGUGGACAAAUUUCCUCGAAUUUUCACGACUUUUUCGGACUUUACCAACAAUUUUGGGAUGUGGAGAUGUCGGAGGAAAAGGGCCGAUGUCGCUGAGCUCAAAGAAAGGGAAGAUUCGUGGUAAGAAGAAGGGGCUUUCGAAGAGGAAAGGAAGCACAGGUAGCAGUGGUAGCCAUGGCAGUGCAGACCUUAAGAUCCCCACGGAUAAGAAGCACAAGGCCAAGGCCAUACAGGAAGCCAUACGCAGUGAUCCCCCGGACAUCGCAAACCUCAGGAGGCUGGCCAUCAGCGAUGGCGGUCUACUCCGAGAUGACCUGCGACGAAAAGCCUGGCCAAAACUGAUGAACGUCAACGUGUUUGAGAUUCCUCCCAAGCCAGCCAACAUAAAAGCCCACAGGGACUACCGACAAGUUGUUCUUGAUGUGGAGAGAUCAAUGAGAAGAUUCCCAACCAACAUGAAGGAAGAACAGAGGUUAAGACUACAGGACCAACUGGUGGACAUCAUUCUCAGAGUUCUUGUCAGACACCCAGAGCUUCACUACUAUCAGGGCUACCACGAUAUCUGUGUGACCUUCCUGUUGGUAGUAGGAGAGGAUCUUGCCUUUGCCAUCAUGGACAAACUAUCAGAGUACCAUCUGAGGGACUUCAUGGAUGAGUCUAUGGACAGGACACGUCACAUCCUGGGCUACCUCAUGCCAAUAGUGGGUAAAGCCCACCCUGAACUAAGGGAAUUUCUGGAAAGGUCAGAUGUGGGCACCAUCUUUGCCCUGAGCUGGUUAAUCACAUGGUACGGCCACGUUCUCACAGACAUCAGGCACAUUGUCCGGUUAUAUGACUUCUUCCUGGCCUGCCAUCCCCUCAUGCCCAUCUACCUAGCAGCACAGAUAGUCCUGUACAGAAGUGAAGACAUCCUGAGAGUGGACUGUGAGAUGACCAUGGUGCACCACACCCUGUCCCGCCUGCCCGAGGACCUGCCGUUUGAACACCUGGUCAGUCGUGCAGGGGACCUGUUCAUCCAGUACCCACCCUCCAUGCUGGCCAAGGAGGCAGAGCUGGAGUUCUUAUCCAGCACCACAAUCAGUUGUUAUGAGGACUUUGAGAUGGCCACCAAUCAGAAACCAGAUACUGUGCUUCGGCGGCGGCGGCGAUUUGGCAACGGUACCGCACAGAACGGGGACGUGAAGACGGUACAACUCCGAAAGCCGACAAACCUGGCGCUGAAGUUUGCAGUAUGGGCCAUUUCUGCCUCCCUUGGUGCAGCUGCACUUGCUGUAGUCAAUGUAGUAAAUGAAUGGUUUUAGGUGUAUGCUCUAACAUACGCUACAAAACACAGGCAUAUGUAACUAUUAAAUCUGAAAGACCAGGAUAUAGUGAUGUCUUUCUACAUGAUCUCCAAAGCAAGAUGUGUAUAUAUCAGAUAAUCUAUGAUAUGAAAUAUGGUCUUUGUUUCAAUUGUGGAAAAUGGACGAUGAAGUGAGAGUUAACAGACAAUGCUGAAGUUCAGGUUGUACAUGUAGCUGAGAAAGUGUAUGAAACUAAAAGUUUGAUGAUGAUGGUAUCUUAGGUUGAUGGGCUGAGAGAAGACUAUCAUAAGAUGUCGACUAAAAAAGGUGGAGAAAGAGCCAUUAUGAAAUUGUGUGUUGACAAGUAUCUAAUUGUGUCCAUAUUCACAUUUGUAAAUAGUGAAAAUUCCAUUGCCCAUGGUUACAUUUUAACUGUUUGUGUUGUUGUUGAACCUCUGUAGUCUGUACUGUAUAGUUGCUAGCAUAUGAUUGAAGCAACACUGUAGCCACAACAGCAUUCCUAUGUCUUACUUGUGCAAUGAGUUUUUUGCCAUUUUUAAAAGCCACCAGUUUCUCAGAUUGUAAUCUUCUUGGGGUGGUAAGAAAAAUUUCUGUGGAAACUGCAUGUAGAUGUACUGUUACAGUCAUGUGAAGAAAGGUUCACGGUGUAUAUUUUAUAGAACUAUACAUUGUCUAAGCACAGGCAAUGUUUUGGAACCAAAGAUGUUAGAUAUGCCAUGCGAGCGGACUGGAUUAACAUUGGCAUGUGCACUAUUUAGUUUAGUUACAAGUUAAUGAUUAUUCAGAGCUUGCAACAAAGGCUUCCAGUUCCUGUUAAGUGUACAGAAUUUAACUAUUUGUGCUCCACUAUGAAAGACUAUGUCCAGACAUAAUUAUGUGUUUAACUCAAUUACAGGAUGCUGCUGUUUUAAAAUACAAUGUAUUAUGUCAUUUAAUGGUGUUUUUGUCAUUGUUGGGGUUUACACAGUCAUGCGUACAAGUAUCAUUGGCAUUGCAUAUGCUGUAUACAGUAAGUGUAUGUUUUGAUAUGUGGGAGGAAGUAAUUGUGAUACUGUCAUGCAAAUAUAUAAGAACAGGGGAACAAAAACCUCAUGUUAUAAAGCCAUUUUAUCAGGACCAUAAUUUGUGCAAUGUUUGUGUUGAAUGCAAGUGUGUGUUUAAGUAUCUCCAUCCACAUGGUAGUGAUUGGGGCCAAGUGCUUAGUGUUGUAAUGGAUACUGGAAGGACGUGUUUUUAAUGAAUCAGAUUUGGUCAACCAGUUCACACAGUAUUUUACUUAUAUGUCUCAGUACUGCAGUGAUUUU
Molecule: RNA transcript, 2672 nt
Organism: Branchiostoma belcheri (Belcher's lancelet)
Lineage: Eukaryota; Metazoa; Chordata; Leptocardii; Amphioxiformes; Branchiostomatidae
Gene name: TBC1 domain family member 20-like
Exons: 10
Source: RefSeq, a predicted model, not a curated record